CAGCCAGCGCUGCCCAGGCCCAGAGGAAGAUGAAGGUCGCUGUGCUCAGCGUGGCCCUGCUCUUCACCAUCCUGCUGAGCCCCCCAGCAGAUGCCUGGAUGGGUCCCCCUUCCCACCAGGAUCACUUCAGGGAUGGGUUCAGGGAUGGGCUCAGGGUCGGGUCUUGUCGCCCUGGCUUCGGCUCUGGUGCAGGACUGGAUCGUGGUGACCAUCAUCAACACAGGUUGGGGUUCCUGCAUCCUGGGAGGCAUCAUCAGGGGAGGGACGAAUGGCCAGGUGGGUGCCAGGAGUUGUUCUGGGCCCAGACCCUCCUCUCUCAUGGCCACGACCGUCCAAGGCACCCCAAUGCACCCCAGUGUUUCCUGGGGAGGCCUCUUUCUCCGGGCCCCCACUGUAAUCCCAUCCAUCCCAGUACACCCCAGUACACACUCAGGACAUCAUUUCCCAUCCAUUUCCUCCCUGCUUUCCCCCCAGUCCUUUCCC
Long non-coding RNA from Pseudopipra pipra, 483 nucleotides. RefSeq lists it as uncharacterized. The transcript is spliced from 3 exons. Lineage: Eukaryota; Metazoa; Chordata; Aves; Passeriformes; Pipridae. The record is from RefSeq and is a predicted model, not a curated record.